UGUGCCAGAGCCCCUGGCUCUGGUGGCUAAGACCUCACUGUGCACCUCUCCCGCCAACGCCGUGCUCAGUGCGUCAUGUGGGUAGCUUGACGUCAACCGUGCUGGGAGUAUUUGCACCAUGGGAAUUGGCAGACGCUACAAGGGCUCCCCCCCACCUCCCCAUCUCAGAGAGCCGGUUGCUAAGCUGUUGACCGGAACGCCGCUGUCUGAAACCCAAAGACAGUCCCUUACACGGCCACCGUCUUAUUAUCGCACCCGAUGAAACUAACGCUAACAUCCUAGUUCAAUGUCCCCACUGGUUUCAAAAACAUCUGCUUACAGGCGGUUUGUCCAGUCAGGGCUUCUCUUUGGAUAUAAGGAUAUUUGGUUGUUACGUCUCUUAAUUUUCCUUAAUCUAGAGCAAUGCUCCUUUAUCCCCCACUUGUGGGUUUUUUUUUUUUUUUAAUGCCCUUGGUUGCUGAGACAUCGGGUGGACCUGUAGCGGGUCCUGCCUUCUGCAUCGCCCGUGUGCGCUGUCACUUACCACGUCCUCUGUGCCCGCGCGUCCUGUGGAUGCUGUACAGGCUGCAUGGAUCGCGGUGGCUUGUUGUUACUUUGCCAUCCACACACACUGAGUGCACUCACCGUGGAAUCCUCUGCCUUUGGGGAGGGGUCACCACACCGAGGAAAGCCAACUCUUCUGAUUGGGCCUCGCUGCCAGUCGGGGCAGGUCUUUCUGCAUUCCGUCUCGUCUCGUCUUGGGGGUGAAGAACCUGUAGCUGCCUUCCGGAGUUCAUUCCAGGAUGCCUUCACUUGGACCGGCGGGCCGUAUUCCUACCUCCUGUCUAACUGCAGUCUCUCCUGCUUUAGGUGCAGCCCAUUUUCUCUGCCUGGGACCCUGGGAUUUCUCAACCUCCUCUCUUUCAAGUCUCUUCCUGUGCCAAGGAGAAAAACAACCCCAGACAUCUUGUGACUCCGGGAUUUUUAAGCCCUGCACUUGAAGCAGUCAUCGCUGCAUCCCGGAGUGGUUAUAACCUUGCUAUGGCCUAGCCCCUGCACAGGAGCAGCCGUGCGUGCCUUCUCCGCCCGCCCGAAGCCUUUCCCCUUUGCCUGCCGUCCUGGGUCCCUCCGUGCACCCUGGCUGGCAGCGCUGGGUCUUGCCCACCCACCCAGCGUCAGGUCGUGGUCCUGACCUCCUGACAGGGCUCCUGUCCUCUCCUGGUCUUCCCACCUGGUUGAGUCCUGGAAGCUGGUUUCUCUGAGCUGUCCUUCUCUUGUCCCCUCACCGGGUCAGCCGGGAGCUUGCUCUUCCCUUUCAGAAAUGGAGCGCUGUGGAGAGAUGCUGGCUCUUUGGGAGGCAAAGUGGCAUCUGGGAGCAUGGAGGCGUUUGAACGUGCCGAAGCUGCUGUCAGGAGGACGUAUGGAACAGGACCCAGCCGAGGACACAAGCCGUUGAGGGGUGGGAAGGCCCGGGAAGACAGCAGAGGAACCUGGAGGAACUAAGAUCUACCCCUGUAGUGACCGUUGAGAAGGAAGCAGCCAGUCUGGAAAGCCGGGGCACCUGCCAUCCUGCCGUCUCAGAGGAACGUCUCCCUUGUAAAGAAAAGUUCAAGAUGAAGAAACAGGCCAGGAGAGGCUUCUCAGCUUGCCCAAGGUCACAUAGCGAGAAGGUGCCAGACCAAGCUGCAAGCCCAGGCAGUCUGGCUCCGGAGCCCGAGCUUUCACCCCAGAACGCAUCUGCAGCCGGGGUCUGGCCCUCGGCCCAGAAGCGUGU
Molecule: non-coding RNA, 1753 nt
Organism: Microcebus murinus (gray mouse lemur)
Lineage: Eukaryota; Metazoa; Chordata; Mammalia; Primates; Cheirogaleidae
Source: RefSeq, a predicted model, not a curated record